RNAcentral lists this ribosomal RNA (377 nucleotides) under uncultured bacterium. RNAcentral describes it as "bacterial SSU rRNA". It matches the Rfam family "Bacterial small subunit ribosomal RNA", at positions 521 to 896 of the family's 1533-position model. The record is from RNAcentral.
UAAUACAGAGGGUGCAAACGUUGCUCGGAAUUAUUGGGCGUAAAGCGCGUGUAGGCGGCUUGUUAAGUUGGUUGUGAAAACCCAUGGCUCAACCAUGGAAGGGCGUCCAAAACUGGCAAGCUAGAGUCCCGACGAGGAUGGCGGAAUUCCCAGUGUAGAGGUGAAAUUCGUAGAUAUUGGGAGGAACACCGGUGGCGAAGGCGGCCAUCUGGGAGGGCACUGACGCUGAGACGCGAAAGCGUGGGGAGCAAACAGGAUUAGAUACCCUGGUAGUCCACGCCGUAAACGAUGAGCACUAGAUGUUGCGGGUAUUGACCCCUGCAGUGUCGACGCUAACGCAUUAAGUGCUCCGCCUGGGGAGUACGGCCGCAAGGCUA